RNAcentral lists this ribosomal RNA (406 nucleotides) under uncultured bacterium. Its description in RNAcentral is "partial 16S ribosomal RNA". It matches the Rfam family "Bacterial small subunit ribosomal RNA", at positions 28 to 526 of the family's 1533-position model. The record is from RNAcentral.
GACGAACGCUGGCGGCGUGCCUAAUACAUGCAAGUCGAACGAGUGGCGGACGGGUGAGUAACCCGUGGGAACCUACCCAUCAGAGGGGGAUAACUACUGGAAACGGUAGCUAAUACCGCAUACCAUCAGAUGAACCCAUAUGGGAUUGGCUUGUAGGUGAGGUAACGGCUCACCUAGGCGACGAGCCCUAGCUGGUCUGAGAGGAUGAUGAGCCAGACUGGGACUGAUACACGGCCCAGACUCCUACGGGAGGCAGCAGUGGGGAAUUGUGCACAAUGGGCGAAAGCCUGAUGCAGCCAUGCCGGGUGUAUGAAGAAGGCCUUCGGGUUGUAAAGUACUUUCAGUCGGGAGGCGUUACCGACAGAAGAAGCACCGGCUAACUCCGUGCCAGCAGCCGCGGUAAUAC